GGGGUUGUAGCUCAGUGGUAGAGCACUUGCCUCGAACGCGUGAGGCCUUGGGUUCAAUCCUCAGCAUCACAA
This is a non-coding RNA of Ictidomys tridecemlineatus (thirteen-lined ground squirrel), 72 nucleotides long. Lineage: Eukaryota; Metazoa; Chordata; Mammalia; Rodentia; Sciuridae. The record is from Rfam.